ACACAAUGACAUCAUAAUUGGUUGCCCAUUUGUACUUUUAUAUGAUCCGAAAGUAACCUUCUUAAUAAUAGAGGUAAUGGAGCGUGUGUGUGUGUGUGUGUGUGUGUGUGUGUGUGUGUGUGUGUGUGUGUGCUUCUAUCUGGGUAUGUAGGCCUUUGCUUUACAUUAUUCAUGACACAAAGGAGAUGGUGUGUUCCUAUAAGCAUUGCCAAAGAGAGAGGUUUUGUGUUACACAACCCACUCAUCAAAGCUCAUCAAAGAAUAGGCCAGUGUCAUUUUGCGCCUUGGCAGACCAUAUGGCUCUAACCCAUGCCAUCCACCAUCCUUUACAAAAAUCAUUUGAAUAAUGUAUAAACCAAGAAGAGAACGUUCCAGGAUUGCCUUCUCAUUUCCAUCGUCACCAUCCUCUUUGAUUACUUGCAGACACUCCCUUUAUAAAAGGUGGAUCUAUUGCACUCUGGCAAUGCAUUAACCUGCGAGUUAAUUGCAUGUUUCCUUCAGGGUAGAGUCAUUAGAAGCUAUAAGGCUCGUUAACAUUUUAAUUAUAAUUUAAUAACUUUUCCAUACAGUUACCCUUGUGAGGAUAGUUUGUUAUUUAAUUUUUGAUAUCUGGGAAAUUAAGAUAUCAAAAGCAGCGCUGACAUAUCUAAUAUGUGUAUGUUUAACCCCUUCACAUUAGCGAUCUUACAGUUAAUGAUGGGGCAUACUGCACAGCUUGUUGUCUCUGUAAUGUGGAGUGUACUGGAAUUCAUGAGAUGCGGCUUGUGUGUAUGAGGUUGGUGCAACUUCAAUUCAAGUCAAGGCCAAGCCAGCAUAGUUUAGAAGGAAAGUGUCAGGGCCCAUUGGCCUUCAGCUUCCAUUUGAAUUUAUUUCUGUUCCCAUUAAACGGGUAAAUAUUUUUCAUUUUGCAGUGCACCGUGUACACAUGAGUCUGAAAAUGCCUAACGCAAGUCUUAAUCCAAUUAUGUAAAGUCCCUGUACAGUAUAUUUGUUCUAUUACACACACAUGUAAAAUUGUGUAAUUAAUACACAUGUAAAUUGGAAAUGUUAUUUUGUAUA
Molecule: long non-coding RNA, 1059 nt
Filed under: Oncorhynchus mykiss (rainbow trout)
Lineage: Eukaryota; Metazoa; Chordata; Actinopteri; Salmoniformes; Salmonidae
Description: lncRNA (ENSOMYG00000069920.1)
Source: RNAcentral